Long non-coding RNA from Brienomyrus brachyistius, 3209 nucleotides. RefSeq lists it as uncharacterized. The transcript is spliced from 4 exons. NCBI's taxonomy places the organism in Eukaryota, Metazoa, Chordata, Actinopteri, Osteoglossiformes, Mormyridae. The record is from RefSeq and is a predicted model, not a curated record.
CUUAUUUGGUUAUUCCUUGGAUCCCUGGCCGGUCUUUCCCUACGCAUGCCAGUCCAUAGCAUAAACACAUGUAUUGGUUUUCCAAUAAUAAGGCUAAAGCUUUCCUUCCUUUCUAAUCAAGGGCCACUGGCCCCCGGAACAAAGCCCUUAAUCCCCAACUGCCCCGCGGACCGUCUCACCCGGCUUUCCAUUGCACAUCACUUUGGAUAACGGCGUCUGCUAAGUAAAGGACCGUAACUGUAAUCGCUGUCAUGUGGGUUUGUGUGCUGCUCCUGUUUUCAGUGAAAGCCCAGCAGUUUACAGACACAUACUUUGGAUGCAGCUUCCACCUCAGCACCCUGCCAGCAGUGGAGAGGCUCCCUUGGUGAGACGGGAGCAGGACAGAAGCAGAGGAGGGAGAAACGUGAUACGCCGACCUGUCAAGCGUAAACUCGGAUCCCUUCCAGAAAACGGGUUGGAAUGCAUCUGCUCCACCGUGGGAAUGUCGCCGCGGCAACCACGCAGAUGAGCAGGGGCUCGUCGGCCGCGAAGCUACCUGGAGGCUGCUGGCAGCGAGCUGCCGCAACUUCCUCAGGUUUCCGCCAUUUUUAACCCCUGCCAGGUCCGAGUCCUGGAUGCAAAGGGCAAAGAGAUCCACCCUCGUUCUGCAGUGAUUCCUCACCUCAAGCACCAACCCUGCUGGGCUGCAUCGCUACACACGACCAAGACUGACGACGGGGCAGAUUCCUGUGAAGGCUCCACCAGGAACGCUCAAGAUAUCACUUGAGAAGGACCUGUCUUGUUCCAGCGGUCAAGCCUGGCCCUGCAUCUGAAGGUGAUUUCAAGAUGAUGGAGAUGAAGGCUUACAAAGUCGGUCACCGCUGGGUCACUGCUUGGGUACGACAUCCGAUUCCUCAGAAUAGCAUGUCUGAGGUUUAUGUAACAGUAUAUACAGGGUGAACACAGCAGGAUGAGGUUCUGAUGAAAAACACAUGGAAACGACAUUAAAAUGACAUGGUCAGGAGGUCUGUCUCAUACCUUUUACAUUAGCAGCUUAUGUUUUUUUUUACUUUUCAUGGAUAAAUAUCAAACCUCCAGCAGUAGACUGGUGACCUGAUUUGGGUCAUAUAAGGAGCAUAGAUGAAUGAUAACUCCCGGACUGAGACAUUCAAGCCACAUGGACUGUGUAGAGUUCGGCUGGCAUAUACCAUACAGACACUAUCUUGGCUUAUUGAAGGCUUUCCUUUCCUGCACCUGUCCUCACAGAACAGUAGAUGGCAGAGUGGUUAAGCACUUGCAACAUAAAUAUUAAUUAUAUUGGACCCUUUUGAAUUUCUGCAGCAAAUAGUCUUGCAUAUUCCAGUGCAGGAAAAAAGUUCAAAAAGUAUGUGUUGUUAUGGAUGAAAGUUUCAGCUUAGCUGUAAUGGUAGAGUUUAAAGAGUGUCGAUUUGGUUCAUGUGUAAAUGAUAUCGCAGUAGCUCUCCCGGGCGGCUGAAUGCGAGAGUAAUGUUGUUUUCGGGGGAGGUGGACCUGAACACCAGCCAAACUGGUUGUGUAGGUCUGGUCUGUUCUGACAGAAAUGGACGCGUGGAUCUUGCAGCAGCAGAAGCUGUGUGAGGUCUUUUUACUUUUCAUUUUGUUCCCCUUUGCUUUCUCAGUUUUAGCUAAGCUUUGGCUUCAGUGUUGACCGUUUCCAUUUCGCCUCCAAACCACAAGUGUUUUUCUAAUUAUUUCCAUCAACCAUUCAGGAAAAAAAAAAAGCAUCUUAAUGCUGUUAACGACCUCGGGGCCAAGAUGAAGCGAGUUACCUGAGGAUAAGAGCCGCAGAGAGAAAAAAAUAACGAUUAGCAUUUCUUGAAAAUACGGCCCCUAUUAUUCAUGCUAAUGGGUAAUGCUAGACCAGCAUAAUUAUUGCACUACAACUGCUUGCAAGGCUGAAUAGAGCUGGAAUUUCCAUUUGUGUGCCUUUAAAAGCCCUGCAGUUUAGCCAGCUGCGUGCGACCUGGAGAAAUUCGAAUUUAUUCCAAGAUUGGGCACGUAUCCCAGUGUGUGGGUGCAGGCGGAAAAUAUCAGUGUACGAGAUGAACGUAUCAGUCCAUUGGGUGUGUGUGUGCGUCAUCUCCAAGGACAAUAGCUUGUAGCAGGUUUGUAAGCAGGAAAGGUAGGCAGGACUCCUGCCUUCUCUUGUAACACAUCCUCAUCGCAUUUUACAUACCUUCAUCCAGACUUUCUCUUUCUGCCCCGAAAGCCCUAAUAUUGCUCCAGGCCUGAUCUUUCAGCAACCUUCUGUCCUUAGCAGAGUUUCUCGUAGGACGUGUCCUCAGCCCAUUUAGCUAGGCUGCUACGUAUCUUAUUGCUGUUUUAAAGUUGGUACUUUCACGGUACUUUCAGACCACAGUACUGCUCUGACUUCCUGUCUCUGGGCUCAAAAAUUCCCGUUCAGUGUUUUACGCCGAUGCGGCACGUUCAGUGGAGGGACAAAGCGAAAGAAGACCUGCACUACCAGGCAAAAGCACACCGCAAGUUUUUCUGUUUAUUUCAUAACAAUAUUCUUGUUAAGCAUUGAAAAGUUGAGUGAACAACUAUAAAUGAAAAUAUAAGUCAAAUAAAACAAAUUUCCUUGGACAGAGUAUGUAACAAUGCAUGGUUGUGCGGUGAUGGCAGAGUCAAAUUCUAGGCUCUCCUUUAACUUUAAAUGCACCAGUUAUCUGUUUCGGCCCAUGAAAUGGAGCAGCAUUUAAUGUCCCUUGCAGAAAGAAUACCUUGGAUUUUCUCCACUGUUAUAACGGCAUUUUGAUGAAUGAAAGAUAUGACAUUUUCUUGCUAAUAAAGGUACUCAAAUGGUGAACAUACUGUAAAUUUAUUUCUUAGCAAAGAAUAUUGAGUGCAUUUUCAGCAAAUGUUAAGUGGGUGACAUGCAAAUAUAGAAAAUCUCAGCGCAUGCAAAAAAAAGUCGUGUAAUUCACGUCAUGUGACUCUUACUGGCCAUCCUGUAAGCCAAUCAUUAAACACAAACACUCCAUAACGGCCUGCAACUCCCUCUCUUCAGGCCGUGCCCUCCUCUUCCUUACCUAACCUGACCUUUACUUUAUUUUACCUUAAUCUUAGUGCAACCAUAGUUGAUGUGCACAUUAUAUAUUUUGGAUUAUUUUAAUUAAGUGUAUGCCACUGAUUUAUGUUGUAUAUUAUUAUUAUGCUUUGCAGUAAUUUUAUUAAGGUUAAUAUAUAUU